Small nuclear RNA from Callithrix jacchus (white-tufted-ear marmoset), 164 nucleotides. Its record names the gene U1. It matches the Rfam family "U1 spliceosomal RNA". From Rfam's summary of the family: U1 is a small nuclear RNA (snRNA) component of the spliceosome (involved in pre-mRNA splicing). Its 5' end forms complementary base pairs with the 5' splice junction, thus defining the 5' donor site of an intron. There are significant differences in sequence and secondary structure between metazoan and yeast U1 snRNAs, the latter being much longer (568 nucleotides as compared to 164 nucleotides in human). The record is from Ensembl. Lineage: Eukaryota; Metazoa; Chordata; Mammalia; Primates; Cebidae.
AUACUUACCUGGCAGGGGAGAUACCAUGAUCACGAAGGUGGUUUUCCCAGGGCAAGGCUUAUCCAUUGCACUCUGGAUGUGCUGACCCCUGUGAUUUCCCCAAAUGUGGGAAACUCUACUGAAUAAUUUGUAGUAGUGGGGGACUGCAAUUGUGCUUUCCCCUG